GGCCUACCAUGCAGUCGAGCGGAUGAAGGGAGCUUGCUCCUGGAUUCAGCGGCGGACGGGUGAGUAAUGCCUAGGAAUCUGCCUGGUAGUGGGGGAUAACGUCCGGAAACGGGCGCUAAUACCGCAUACGUCCUGAGGGAGAAAGNGGGGGAUCUUCGGACCUCACGCUAUCAGAUGAGCCUAGGUCGGAUUAGCUAGUUGGUGGGUUAAAGGCCUACCAAGGCGACGAUCCGUAACUGGUCUGAGAGGAUGAUCAGUCACACUGGACCUGAGACACGGUCCAGACUCCUACGGCAGGCAGCAGUGGGGAAUAUUGGACAAUGGGCGAAAGCCUGAUCCAGCCAUGCCGCGUGUGUGAAGAAGGUCUUCGGAUUGUAAAGCACUUUAAGUUGGGAGGAAGGGCAGUAAGUUAAUACCUUGCUGUUUUGACGUUACCAACAGAAUAAGCACCGGCUACUUCUNACCCCCCCCCCC
RNAcentral lists this ribosomal RNA (474 nucleotides) under Pseudomonas aeruginosa. RNAcentral's name for it is "bacterial SSU rRNA". It matches the Rfam family "Bacterial small subunit ribosomal RNA", at positions 45 to 516 of the family's 1533-position model. Lineage: Bacteria; Pseudomonadati; Pseudomonadota; Gammaproteobacteria; Pseudomonadales; Pseudomonadaceae. The record is from RNAcentral.